AGGUCAGAUCGGAGACUGGAAGAACCAUUUUACGGUGGCUGAGAGCGAAGCUUACGAUCAAAUCUACCGCGAGAAGAUAGAAGGGUCGGGCUUGGAGUUCGUGUUUGAAUAGAAGUUAGGAAGGAACCGGGUGGUUUUCGUGUAGGCAAGUUCGGAAGGCUGUAAGGGUCAGUUUUGAACUUGACAAUCAGCCAACCACGCACAUGACAGACGACUGUGACGUCAUUAGAUGUAUUGCGGGAAAAAAUAUCUGGAAUUAUAUUAUAUUUAAAAAUAAGUAAACAAAUAAAUACAUACGUAACUAAUUAAAUAAUUAACUAAAUUAAAAAAGUAUACUUUUUUACAUAAUAAUAAUUUUAUUAUAUUGUUGGCAAAUCACAUAUUAGAUUGUUUACACGGGACACGACACAGUAAUACUGCGGAGCACUUUACGAACAGUGUUCUGGUCGCUGCGACGCGUUUACUAUAAUUGUACUAUAAUUUGCACGCUAGUUGGUUGUUACCAAGACCUAAUAAUAUAUGUAUUAAUUAUUAAGUAUUGAUGUUAGGGAGAGCUGGUGAUUCAUUGCUCACGUGUGAUGCACUGUGCCGUUGUUACUGUCACAUAUUGUAGAAGUUGCAAUAAACGUAUAUUAAUAUCACCGUCAGUGUUGGUUUGACGGUUGUUUUAAUUUAAUAUCGAUAAAUUUAGAAGGUACAAGUAUUGGAGAAGAUCGGAAUCACUACGACUAUAUCUAAUUCUCCCUUUCUAAUAUCUAAUAUCCAUUAUUGCCGAAAAUUGCUCUGUGUCUGGAUGUUUCUCUCUAUUAUUUGUACAUGUGCGUGAGCAUGUGUGUGUAUCAGUGCGAGAAAAGACUGCGCGCACAUGUAGCCAUUAAUAGCGGGGGAAGUGUACCUUCUCUGUACCACAUAUAAUAUUCUGUGCGUAGGAAGAUAUACGUAAUUCAUAUGGCAUCCUAUGCUUCCGAUAAGUGUUCAGAUGUGCGUAUGGGCGAGGGACAGGUAGCCAGUGAAAACCGCACAAUAGUAUCUCGGGAACAUACAGACGCCUUAUGAGAGUAUAGUCUAGAUUAGAAUCCAUGCAAUAAAAGCAGAACAUAUAUUGAAUUCA
Priapulus caudatus is the source of this 1111-nucleotide long non-coding RNA. RefSeq lists it as uncharacterized. The record is from RefSeq and is a predicted model, not a curated record. The transcript has 2 exons. Lineage: Eukaryota; Metazoa; Priapulida; Priapulimorpha; Priapulimorphida; Priapulidae.